This 405-nucleotide ribosomal RNA is filed under the name uncultured bacterium. Its description in RNAcentral is "partial 16S ribosomal RNA". It matches the Rfam family "Bacterial small subunit ribosomal RNA", at positions 32 to 526 of the family's 1533-position model. The record is from RNAcentral.
GAUGACGCUGGCGGCGUGCCUAAUACAUGCAAGUAGGACGAGUUGCGAACGGGUGAGUAACGCGUGGUAACCUACCUAUUAGAGGGGGAUAACUAUUGGAAACGAUAGCUAAUACCGCAUACCAUCGGAUGUGCCCAGAUGGGAUUAGCUAGUAGGUGGGGUAACGGCUCACCUAGGCGACGAUCCCUAGCUGGUCUGAGAGGAUGACCAGCCACACUGGAACUGAGACACGGUCCAGACUCCUACGGGAGGUAGCAGUGGGGAAUAUUGCACAAUGGGCGCAAGCCUGAUGCAGCCAUGCCGCGUGUAUGAAGAAGGCCUUCGGGUUGUAAAGUACUUUCAGCGAGGAGGCGUUACUCGCAGAAGAAGCACCGGCUAACUCCGUGCCAGCAGCCGCGGUAAUAC